GAUGAACGCUAGCUACAGGCUUAACACAUGCGAGUCGAGGGGUAACGAGAGGAAAGCUUGCUUUCCUUGUCGACGACCGGCGCACGGGUGAGUAACGCGUAUCCAACCUGCCCCCAACUAGGGAAUAACCUUGCGAAAGUAAGACUAAUACCCUAUAAUUUCCUCAGAUGUCAUCUGACGAGGAAUAAAGAUUUAUCAGUUGUGGAUGGGGAUGCGUCUGAUUAGCUUGUUGGCGGGGUAACGGCCCACCAAGGCAACGAUCAGUAGGGGUUCUGAGAGGAAGGUCCCCCACAUUGGAACUGAGACACGGUCCAAACUCCUACGGGAGGCAGCAGUGAGGAAUAUUGGUCAAUGGGCGGAAGCCUGAACCAGCCAAGUAGCGUGCAGGAUGACGGCCCUAUGGGUUGUAAACUGCUUUUAUACAGGAAUAAAGUUAGCCACGUGUGGUUAUUUGUAUGUACUGUAUGAAUAAGGACCGGCUAAUUCCGUGCCAGCCGCCGCAGUAA
RNAcentral lists this ribosomal RNA (506 nucleotides) under uncultured bacterium. Its description in RNAcentral is "partial 16S ribosomal RNA". It matches the Rfam family "Bacterial small subunit ribosomal RNA", at positions 28 to 523 of the family's 1533-position model. The record is from RNAcentral.